Molecule: ribosomal RNA, 157 nt
Filed under: uncultured Chloroflexota bacterium
Lineage: Bacteria; Bacillati; Chloroflexota
Description: uncultured Chloroflexi bacterium partial 16S ribosomal RNA
Rfam family: Bacterial small subunit ribosomal RNA
Source: RNAcentral
CUACAAUGGGUGGUACAGUAGGUUGCAAUGGGGUGACCCGGAGCCAAUCCUAAAAACCAUCCUCAGUUCAGAUUGCAGGCUGAAACCCGCCUGCAUGAAGCCGGAGUUGCUAGUAACCGCAGGUCAGCAUACUGCGGUGAAUACGUUCUCGGGCCUU